UUAGAAAGUUUUCAACAACUAAAGAAGAAAAGCCAGAACUAGAAAAUCAUAGACACAAAAUAACAUUCAAUAAAUAAUUAAAGAGAUUGCAAAUGAUCAAAAAUAGAGAAAAAAACGACAAAAAAGCAGAACAAAAUACGGAAACAAAAAGAUAAGAAAAUUUAAAGACGUGAAAAGAUAGAUGGAAUCAUUGAAAGAUAUGAGAA
This 206-nucleotide long non-coding RNA is filed under the name Arabidopsis lyrata. Its description in RNAcentral is "long non-coding RNA (ALYR_LNC002537)". The record is from RNAcentral. Lineage: Eukaryota; Viridiplantae; Streptophyta; Magnoliopsida; Brassicales; Brassicaceae.